GACGAACGCUGGCGGCGUGCUUAACACAUGCAAGUCGGACGGAAAGGCCCUGCUUGCAGGGUGCUCGAGUGGCGAACGGGUGAGUAACACGUGGGUGAUCUGCCCCUUACUUUGGGAUAAGCCUGGGAAACUGGGUCUAAUACUGGAUAGGACCAUGCUGUAGGUGGUGUGGUGGAAAGAUUAGUUUCGGUAAGGGAUGAGCUCGCGGCCUAUCAGCUUGUUGGUGGGGUAAUGGCCUACCAAGGCGUCGACGGGUAGCCGGCCUGAGAGGGUGGACGGCCACAUUGGGACUGAGAUACGGCCCAGACUCCUACGGGAGGCAGCAGUGGGGAAUAUUGCACAAUGGGCGCAAGCCUGAUGCAGCGACGCCGCGUGGGGGAUGACGGCCUUCGGGUUGUAAACUCCUUUCAGCCAUGACGAAGCCCUUGUGGUGACGGUAGUGGUAGAAGAAGCACCGGCUAACUACGUG
Molecule: ribosomal RNA, 469 nt
Filed under: uncultured bacterium
Lineage: Bacteria
Description: partial 16S ribosomal RNA
Rfam family: Bacterial small subunit ribosomal RNA
Source: RNAcentral